CAGCCGCCACGGAAUACGAAGGGUGCAAGCGUUACUCGGAAUUACUGGGCGUAAAGCGUGCGUAGGUGGUGGUUUAAGUCCGUUGUGAAAGCCCUGGGCUCAACCUGGGAAUUGCAGUGGAUACUGGGUCACUAGAGUGUGGUAGAGGAUAGUGGAAUUUCCGGUGUAGCAGUGAAAUGCGUAGAGAUCGGAAGGAACAUCUGUGGCGAAGGCGACUAUCUGGGCCAACACUGACACUGAGGCACGAAAGCGUGGGGAGCAAACAGGAUUAGAUACCCGUGUAGUCCCUGUCUCUUAUACA
Molecule: ribosomal RNA, 301 nt
Filed under: uncultured bacterium
Lineage: Bacteria
Description: partial 16S ribosomal RNA
Rfam family: Bacterial small subunit ribosomal RNA
Source: RNAcentral